AGCAGCCGCGGUAAUUCCAGCUCCAAUAGCGUAUAUUAGAGUUGUUGCAGUUAAAAAGCUCGUAGUUGAAUUUCGGGGUUAGUAGGUUGGUCAUGCCUCUGGUAUGUACUGGUCUCACUGAUUCCUCCUUCCUGAUGAGCCGUAAUGCCAUUAAUUUGGUGUUGCGGGGAAUUUGGACUGUUACUUUGAAAAAAUUAGAGUGUUUAAAGCAAGCUAACGCUUGAAUACAUUAGCAUGGAAUAAUGAAAUAGGACGUUCGAUCCUAUUUUGUUGGUUUCUAGGAUUGACGUAAUGAUUAAUAGGGAUAGUUGGGGGCAUUAGUAUUCAAUUGUCAGAGGUGAAAUUCUUGGAUUUAUUGAAGACUAACUACUGCGAAAGCAUUUGCCAAGGAUGUUUUCAUUAAUCAAGAACGAAAGUUAGGGGAUCGAAGACGAUCAGAUACCGUCGUAG
Molecule: ribosomal RNA, 450 nt
Filed under: uncultured Glomeromycotina
Lineage: Eukaryota; Fungi; Glomeromycota
Description: SSU rRNA
Rfam family: Eukaryotic small subunit ribosomal RNA
Source: RNAcentral